GUUUGGGUCUUACGCAACAGAUCUUCAUGAACCGUGUCAGGGCAGGAAUGCAGCAGCACUAAGUGAAACCUUCUGUGUGCCGUGAGGGUGCCUGGACCGA
RNAcentral lists this signal recognition particle RNA (100 nucleotides) under Hungatella sp. RNAcentral's name for it is "signal recognition particle sRNA small type". It matches the Rfam family "Bacterial small signal recognition particle RNA". Rfam says of the family: The signal recognition particle (SRP) is a universally conserved ribonucleoprotein involved in the co-translational targeting of proteins to membranes. Archaeal SRP consists of a 7S RNA and homologues of the eukaryotic SRP19 and SRP54 proteins. The record is from RNAcentral. Lineage: Bacteria; Bacillati; Bacillota; Clostridia; Lachnospirales; Lachnospiraceae.